RNAcentral lists this ribosomal RNA (252 nucleotides) under uncultured bacterium. Its description in RNAcentral is "partial small subunit ribosomal RNA". It matches the Rfam family "Bacterial small subunit ribosomal RNA", at positions 26 to 285 of the family's 1533-position model. The record is from RNAcentral.
AGGACGAACGCUGGCGGCGUGCUUAACACAUGCAAGUGGAGCGACGAACCAGGGCUUGCCCUGGGGCAGAGCCGCGAACGGGUGAGUAACACGUGGGUUACCUGCCUCGAUGACCGGGACAACCCGAGGAAACUCGGGCUAAUACCGGAUGUGCCCGCAAGGGGAAAGGAAGCUUCGGCCUCCGCAUUGAGAUGGGCCCGCGGCCCAUUAGCUUGUUGGUGAGGUAACGGCUCACCAAGGCUUCGAUGGGUA